This 498-nucleotide ribosomal RNA is filed under the name uncultured bacterium. RNAcentral's name for it is "partial 16S ribosomal RNA". It matches the Rfam family "Bacterial small subunit ribosomal RNA", at positions 28 to 508 of the family's 1533-position model. The record is from RNAcentral.
GAUGAACGCUGGCGGCGUGCCUAAUACAUGCAAGUCGAGCGAACGGACGAGAAGCUUGCUUCUCUGAUGUUAGCGGCGGACGGGUGAGUAACACGUGGAUAACCUACCUAUAAGACUGGGAUAACUUCGGGAAACCGGAGCUAAUACCGGAUGAUAUUUUGAACCGCAUGGUUCAAAAGUGAAAGACGGUCUUGCUGUCACUUAUAGAUGGAUCCGCGCUUCAUUAGCUAGUUGGUAAGGUAACGGCUUACCAAGGCAACGAUGCAUAGCCGACCUGAGAGGGUGAUCGGCCACACUGGAACUGAGACACGGUCCAGACUCCUACGGGAGGCAGCAGUAGGGAAUCUUCCGCAAUGGGCGAAAGCCUGACGGAGCAACGCCGCGUGAGUGAUGAAGGUCUUCGGAUCGUAAAACUCUGUUAUUAGGGAAGAACAUAUGUGUAAGUAACUGUGCACAUCUUGACGGUACCUAAUCAGAAAGCCACGGCUAACUACGUGC